Long non-coding RNA from Melospiza melodia melodia, 6541 nucleotides. RefSeq lists it as uncharacterized. The transcript is spliced from 2 exons. NCBI's taxonomy places the organism in Eukaryota, Metazoa, Chordata, Aves, Passeriformes, Passerellidae. The record is from RefSeq and is a predicted model, not a curated record.
GCGGCGGCGGCGACGGCGGCGGGAGAGGAAAACGGGGGGUCCCGGGCACGGCUCCGGGCGGUGCAAACACACAUCACACCCCCCCUGCCACCACCAGCCUCCGCUUCUGGUUUUUUGUGGGUUUUUUAUUUUUUUUUUCUCCCAAACCUCUCCGAAAACGAGCGAAGAGAUCUUGGAAAAAACCGCGCCUUUUAUUUUUAUAUAUAUUUAUAUAUAUAUAUGUAUUUUUAAUUAUAAUUUAUAUUUGUUUAUUUUUUAUUGAUUUAUUUUGGGGCGGGGGGUCACUUUCGCGUUUCUAAAACACCCUCCCCCCCCUAAAAAAUACCCCAAACCAACCAAACAACCCAGCGAGCAAAGCCAGGAGCCAGCAGCAUUGUUCUGGAUUUUUACUUCUUUCUCUUUAAUUAUUUUUUCCCUCAUUCAGCUUUUUUUUUUUAAUAAUUUUUUGCUAACAGCCGUACUCGGCUCAGGGCCUCCAAUGGGAUUUACUCGUGGGGAAAGAAGCUUUUUCCUUAAAGACGGUUCCCCAUGAACUCCCCAUAUUCACUUUUGGUUUUAUUUUUAAUUUUUUUUUCUUUUUUAUUUCUUUACCAGAAUUCUCAAGACCAAAAAAAAAAAAAAAACAAAAAAAAAAAACCAACCCAUUUUGAUUAUUUUUUUCUUCUUUUAUUUUUUUUUUCCAUCCGUGUUCUCUUUUCCUUUCCAGGACACUCAAGUGGUGGGUUAAUUCUGUGUAGCUGUUUUGUUAUUGUUGCAAAAUAACCUGUCACGGUGCCCUCGGUCCACCGGUGCAGUUGCUCGGAGCUACUGAUUCCAGCCUUGGCGAGCCCACGGAGCGGCCGCCUUGGACGCAAAGUGCCCGGGUGCUGCCUUUAUUUUCAUUUCUCAGCUGAGUUCUUGAACCGAAACAUUUUAAAGCAAGGAGGUUGGGCGGCGGGGAGGGGGGGGUAAUAAAUUAGGAAGAAAGCCCUUCUGCUAAUACGACUCGUCAUUAAAAAUAGCCCGGUGGCAAGACAGGGAUGGUACUCCCGAGACACUCGAGGUGGUACAGAUAUGCUGGAGAGACGGCUUCCCUGUAGUUAAAAUGCGGUGUGGGAUUCCCAGGGAGCGAGCGCGGCUGGAGCUGUGUGACUUGUGCGACUCCGAUCCCGGCCCGGGGCAGGGAGGGGGCUCCCGGCUCUGCAAGUGACCCAAGGAGGGAUGGACCCGAGUGGCAGCUCUGUUCCGGGAUUUUGAUUUGGUUUUUUUUUGUUCUUUUUCCCCAGCAAUGAAACCCAAAGGAAGGGGGUUGUUGGGAGCGACAGAUCUGUUCUGUUUGUCAUUUCUCUGCAGUGCGUGACGCUUUCGCUUUAGCCGGAGCCCAGCGAGCCCAGCGCCCGCGGGACGCUCGGGAGCAGCAGCGGCAGGGCUGCCGCUUGGGGGAUUUUUGGUGGAGACCCGAGGUCGAGCACAGCUUCCGUUCAAGUAGCACUCUUAUGGGGGAGAUUUCUCACUCUGCCCGACCACGGCCAAGCCGAGCUUGCAUCAGUUUCCAUCCUAACCCGCCUCGUUGCGGGGACAUAGGGAGCAGCCAGCAGCAUCCCUUUCGGACUGGGAGCUGAGCGGCCUGGGCGCCUUUGCUGAGUUUUUGGCCUUUCUGCUCUGGUGUCAUACCUUCUACUCCCUCACUGUCACUCACGGCCUGGCUGCAGCUACCCACGGGCUCUUGCCACCCGCCUCUGCUCCCCACUGCUUCCUGCUGCCCCAAAACCAACAGCGGUCCCUGUGCUGCCUCGCUGGGGACUUGAGGGAGCUGGGGAUGGAGUCAUUUUCCUGGGAGCCCUCUUCCACCAUUAGCCAGAGGAAUCUUUGCUGAGUGCGGCCUUGACAUCCUCUUCCCUUGCCUGUCCCAGCUCUGGGGACCUGCACGGCUGCCGCUGGCGGUGGUGGUGGCUGCCAGGGUGGCAGUGUCCCAGUGGGACAGCUUCCCCUGCCUCCACAAGCGACAGCAAGCAUUUUCUCUUUGGGGGACAAUGGUGGCCCCGUGGUGGGGAGGGUGGCUGGUGGGAGUGUGCAAAGCCACGGCAGCCCCAUGUCGGCCGUGGGAUGUUUCUCAGCGGCUCCGGGCUCAGCGUGGCUCCUGCACACCCACGAGGUGCCUGUGUGGCACGUGGAGGAGCAGCAGCUCGGCCCUGCCUGUGGGAGGCUGUGGCAGCCCCGCUGGGGGGGUCAGCCCCAUGCACCCCUCUCUCAAAAAGACCCUCUACGCUUCAGAGAGCUCCUCACCCAGGCAAGGGUUGGAACCCCCCAGUGCCACCCCUCAAAGUGGUGGCAGUGCUGGCACAGGGGUGAUGCUGCUGGGAAAUGGUCCCCCUUGGAGCUGGCAGGGGUAUUUCUGGUGGUGCUGGAGCAGCUCCAAGGAGCAGGAGCAGAGGCAGGAGCAGUGCUGGGCAUUGCCACAGGUGCCUCACACCCUCCCAUGGACUGUCCCUCUCCAGCUUCUUCAUGUCCUCCCCUGGCAAAGCUCCUGGGAUGAAAAACAACCCCUCUGCCUGUGUGCUGGCGCGCAGGGCACAGAGCAGUGUGAAAUUAUUCAGCCAUCCCUGGGAGCUGCCCUUGGGUGCUGAAGGGCCUCGGAGCUGGAGGUGCUACUUGGCAGUGAGGGGAGUCCCCGGGCUCGGGUCGUUUCCCUCCAGGGGACACAGAUCAGGUUUUUAUGGUAUAUCGAGGCCAGUGCGUAUUUUUCCCAGGUGAACCGCACCCUUGGAAAGAAGUGCCUUGUCUUCUACAAAACACUGCUUAAAUAAACAGUACCCCACUAUAAUUUUUUCUUUUGAAAUUAACUCCUUCAGGCCAUAAGGCUUCCCCAUCUUCACACAAAAAUAACUGCCAGGACUUUUAAAGGGAAAAAAAAAAAUGCGUCUAAGAGAGAAAAGUUUAGCCUGACAGAGGAGAGCCUGUGAACCUCUCUCUUUCCCCGUGGCCCUCGAGGAUGGGUUUCAGGGACAGCCUGCCCAUUUUGAAGCUGGGUGCCACAGCAUGAGGAUGGGUUUAAGGGACAGCCUGCUCAUUUUGGAGCUGGGUGCCACUGCAUGAGCGUUACUUAAAAGGAGUUUUGUGCAUAUUAAUGCGAAUGCAGCGAGGCCAGGCUGCGCAGGGACAGCCGAGUCCCUGCCUGAAUUCAGCUAUCUUGUUUUCUAAUCUAACCUACUUUUUUUCUUUUGCCUUUUUUUUUUUUUUUUUUUUUUUGUCAGAGGCCAGUGCUUUGCAGGAACCUGUUCUCAGUGCAAUCUCAGAGCUUUUUGUGGGUGUCUGAUUUCUGUAACACGUUUUGGUUUCCAGUAUGAAUGUAAUGUACAGAGAACAUCAUGACACUGCUCUAGGUGUAUGUGAUCUUAUCUACCUGACAUUUAAGGUUUUUUUAAACCGUCCAAUUCAUCUGAUUUGCAUAAAAAUCACAUGAUUUUACUUUUUUUCCUCCUUUUUUUUUCAUGCAUCAUCAUAACAAACUACUAAGGUUUACCAGGCUGUUUUAUGUCUGUCAGCAUGAAUACGGGGCCCGUUUCUCUCGUCUUCAUUCCUCCCCGAUGGAUGUUGGGGAUGUAAAAGGUGGCAGUUGGAGGGGACUUGUGAUUGCAGCCUGCCAUUGAAAUCCUUAAUAAGCAAUUAUGUACAGUUUAACUUCCCAGAAAACAAAGCAGCUAAGCAUGCAUGCCAUGCAGUUGUUGUUAAUUUAAAUAGUUGAGACUUCUUUUUAUUGAUAAGGAAACUCCUCUGGAACAGCCCCCCGGAUCCCAGCAGGCUCCCCCUGCUGCAGCCGUCCUCAUUACAAAACAAGGCCGCAAUUAAAAUAAACUCCAAGAGCUAAAUAAACUGCUGCCUCUCGCUGGUCAUGUGUUAGCUUUAGCCUUUAACGCAGAACAAAAUGUUUUCCUGGGUAUGGGAAGAGGCAUGGGCUCCGACCAGGAGGAGAAGAGGGAGCAGCAGCUGGGCCUAUGGGAAUGGCAGGCAGUGGGGUGCUGCAAUGCUCAUCGGGACUCCUUUCUCUUGCUUUCUUUUUAUUUUUUUCUUGUUGUAAAUUUGAGUGUUUGUGUUCUAACUCGGUCUUUACUGCAAGGGAAAGGGCUGGAAGUGGAAAAACUUGAAUGUUGUGGUAAAACCUGGCUGUCCCAGCACGCCCUGGGCACACCUGAGUGUACCUCUCCCUCGCCCGGCCUGGCUCCCACCGAGCCCACCGGCCACAAGCCCCCGGCCCAGCCUGUGUCACUCCCUUUGCAGAGGCUUUAGGUGGCUGCAGAUACCCCUUGGCAAAUGCCAGCAUCUGGAUGGGUACUGGGAAGGGAAGCACAGGGUGCCUUGGAGGACAGGACCAGUGGGAUGAGGUUUGGAUGAAGGGAGGGACAGCCAGGGCCUGUGGAGGGGAGUGUGGCAGGCCGGCCCUCAGUGCCUCCAUGCCAUGCCAUGGCUCCCCUCACGGCCUGAGAACACGUUUUAACCCCCGUGCCAUGUCCAGGCGUCCUGUUUGGGAUGCUGAAUCACCCUCAGAUGAAUACUCUGCAAGAAGAACUGCUCUGAUGAUGGAGGGGUGUACAUCCACGCUGUGCGCACGUCAACCCCCAGGAUAAUAUUCUGGCAAAAUUGCCCAAAUAACUGGCAUAUCUGCUUGGUGCCAGGAGACAGUGUAGACUUGCCUGUCAAAAAUUACUUUCUUGCCACACAGGAGCAAGAUAUCUGCCUGUCUCCUGCCUGAUUUCCCAAACUGGCUGAGCAUAAACAGCAGUUCUCGGAAGGUGGGUAAGGACUGUCCUCAUUCCACUGAGCACUCACAGCCCCACAUCAGUUCUGCCCCAUCUCUCCCACCCUGGACCCAGUCGAUUUUUAACCAGUUAUGGACCAAAGCCUGUCCGUGCCUCAGCGGGGCUGUGCCGAGGUAAGGAGCCUCCUGGCAGGGGAUGUGGUGGGGCAAGCCCAAUUCCUUGCUUGUCCCCAAAUCUUGUCAUCCUGGCACCCACCAAACUGAAGUGUGUGACCAGUGGAAGCUGAAAAUCCCUGUCCCAUGGCUGAGCAGCACUACUGACCUCUUUUCAGCAGAUCUGUCAGAGUUCAGACAUUACAAUGAAAAAAACCUCGCUAACCCCUACAGAUACUUCUCUGAUUAGGAGUUGUGCUGAGGUAGUUCAAACCAAAUGUGUAAGUUGCUUUGUUGGGGAAAAAAGUAAUAAAAAGAAUAAAAGGCAGUUCUUGCUUUGAAUGGUUUAUAAUAUUAUUUAUUACUCCUGCGUCUCAGACAAUCUUGCAGAUACCUGAUAUUAAAAAUCAGCAGAGAGACUAAGAAGAAGGACAAUGCCUCAAACUUUUAGAGGCACAAGCACAUUGUAAUUAAGAGAGGGAUUUGCAUUGACCCUGAUCGUUUUGAAACAGGUCUCUAAAGUUCAGGCUAAAUUAGCCUGGUUUAUUUCUGUUUUUCCUUUAAUAACUCCCCGGACUCUCAGCCAGUAGAGUACUGUGUGAAUUUCAAUUUCUCUCUUCAAAUAAAACUUCGACGUAAUUUUUAUAUUCUUUGAAAUGAUCUGUGCAAUUUUGUUCACGGAAACUCUUUGAUUUAGACUUAAAGGAUUUAGUGACUGAAUAGGAGGGUAUCUGGAAGUAAUGGUGAAAAUGGUGAUUAUUUGUUUUACUGCCUUCUGGAAUUCUUUUAUUUCUCCGUACUAUCUCUAAAAGCAUGUCUGGCAGUAACAAGCUGUCUCUAAAAAGAAUUCAAUUAAAUGUAUUGCCAACAGAAUAUUUUAUAAUUUUUUAUACCAGUAGUUAGAGUGUUAAAUAAUAUAUUAGUAGAUUUAUAGACUACAUUUAGGUAUGACUAUGAAUAGCUACAGUAAAAACUCAGAAUAUUCAUGUAAAAAGGGAGGGGAGGAAGUUUGGUUUCUGGGGUUUAAGAUUUUUUUCUCCUCGUCCUUAUUUGAGUUUCAGUUUUGGGACUUAAAAAGAAUUAGAUUUUCACAUCUUUUUUUCUGUUAUUCUCGAAUGACAAGAAAAAGUCAGCUAUUUUUUGAGACAAAAAUUCCCAUGAGAUUUCUCCUUGUUUUAAAUAAUUAAAUAUUAAAGGAGUAAGAAAGAAGCAGGCAGAUCCUACGAUAUGGACAUGAAUCAAAUGGGAUAUUUAUUUGCAUAGGUACAUGGCAAACAGGAAAAAAUCGAUCCCGAAGCUGUAUGAAAUUGCCAGUUACUCCAUUACAGUGUUACAAAUAGAUUAUUGCCCAUAAGAAUGUAACUCUUAAUGUACUAAAAAUAAUUUAAUGCUAGGAUUAUAUUUAUUUAAUUUGGUAAAUGACAAAUAUAUUUUUGAUUCCUAUAAAGCAGAAAUAAACCAUCUCCCAGGAACUGGGAACUAAACCAACUGCUCCCCCCACCCCUCCUAAUUUUUUAUUGACUUUUUUCCUUUUUUUUUGGUUUUUCUUCUUGUUUUUUUUUUUUUUCUUUGCAAAGUCUCAUCGGCUCUUCUGAAUUUUGCAGUUCAUUUCUCAUUCCUUCUCCCUCAAUAAAAAUACUUUUCAUCAGAAAA